CAAGCUCCAGAUAUGCAUGUGUGCAUGAGAGGGAGAGAGAGAGAGAGAGGGAGUCUGUGUGUGAGAAUGUUACUGUUUGGUCUCUUACAGAUGAAAGCAAUUCUGACCCAAAUUUAUGCAACAAUUUAGCUCCAGUAGUUUGAAAAAAAGUAGUUCUGUCUCAUCAACAUGAAAGGUAUAUGGAAAGGCAGAUAUGUAAAAAUUCCUGAAAUAAAUAGCUCUCUGAUGGUAUCCAGUCAAGCCACCAAAGGCGUUAAGCUGCAGCCAUUACCAAGUUAUUCUUCUCCUUUCUAGGGAGUCUUGCAGAUGCAGCUUUGCUCAUGCUCAGUGAGGUUCCAGACGAACUUUGGAGGCACUGCCCUGGAUUUGUUGGGAUUUCUUCAGCUGCAAGUUAAACCCACUCCAAACUAGCUUAAUUUAAAAGAGAACUUACUGACUUACAAAACUGAAAAGCCCAAGAGUUGCAUCUGGCUCCAGGCAAAGCUAGAUUCCAGGUCAGUGUGUCUGUCUGUCCCCACCCCCCACCCACAACCAUCCGCCUCUCUCCCCUGCUCUGCUUCCCUCUUGGGCUUUCACUAAGGUGAAUGUCAAGAACCAGGUGAUGGUUCUCUUCUUUCCAACCUGACUGUGGACCACCGCUGACUCCCCAGUGGUAAGAGCCUCUCUCUGUCUCUUCAUGUGAGGCUCCCCUAAGUUGUUAACUGAUGUUUUCUAAGCUUGAUUUAACUUCAUGUUUACAAAGCUACUUGGGAGACCCAUGCGUUUGCAGGUUAUCAGUCCAGAACUGCUGAGCAACACAACAUCCAUGACAACUGGGCAGGAGAUGUGAAAGGAGACCUCCGCACAUGCUGAGGGUCAUGUCAACACAUCUCCUCCACCACUCAGCUCCCUGCCCGGCAGGGUGCCCCUCAUCCAUUAGAGAGUAUAGACAUUCCCCCUACAGAAGUGGAGAGAAACAUCCAAAACCAAGUGAUUUAAAAACAAAAAGGUCACGGGCGUUCCUAUAGUAGCUCAGCAGUAACAGACCCAAACCACAAUUACUAUUUUGCAGUUAACGACAGUGAAAAAAAUAUAAAAAUUGUGUUUGGGGAGUGGUCAAAAUUUUAUUCAAGGAAAAUCAUAACCAUAAGUGAAUUUUUAUUAACAUAAGGUAAAAUUAAGUGAACUAAGUGUUCAUGUCAAGAAGUUAGAAAUCAAAAAGCAAAAUAAUCCUAGGCAAGCUAAUAGGAAUGAAUGGAGAUUAAAAAUAAAAUAAUAGGUGUUUCCACUGUGGCUCAGCAAUAACGAACCUGACUAGUAUCCAGGAAGAUGUGGGUUCAAACCCUGGCCUCACUCAGUGGGUUAAGGAUCCAGCAUUGCCAUAAGAUGCGGUGUAGGUUGUAGACAUGGCUUGGAUCCUGCUGACAACUGCAGCUCGGAUUAUACCCUUAGCCUGGGACCUUCCAUAUGCCACAGGGUAUGGCCCUAAAAAGAUAGAUAGAUAGAGUAAUUAAUUAAUUAAUUAAUAGGUAUUCCUUUGUGGCACAGAAGGUUAAGAUCCAGCAUUUUCACUCCAGUGGCUUGGGUUGCUGCUGUGGCUUAGGUUCAGUCCCUGGCCUGGGAACUUCCGCAUGCUGCAGGCAUGGCCAAAAUAAAUAAAAGAAAAUAAAUAAAGUAGUAGAAAAAAUAAAAUAGAUAAAUGUGAAUCCUAAACAUGUCAGUCACAAAGCUGAUGGGUUUAGCAGCCUUCCUAUAAACAGCCAUCCCAUUCCUGUCUCUGCUGAAGGAGGGGCUGCUUCUUAAACAAGGGAAGCCUCUGAUAAGAAAUUAGAUGUAAAAUUCAAAUAGGUUGACAGAGAUCGAAAACAAGGUAUCGUAUAAACAGCAUCCACAAAAAAGUUGGAAAGUUAAUACCAAACAAAAUGGACUUUAAAAUAGAAAAUGCUACUGGUGAUAAAGAAGAAUUUGAUAAUGAUAAAAGUAUCAAUCCAUCGGGAAGAUUUAACAGUUAUAAAUGUAUAUGCACCUUAUUACAGAAAAACCAAAGUAUUAAAACUGACAAAAAUUAAGGGCGAAAUAGACAAUUCAAUGAUAAUAGUUGGAGACUUUAAGACUCCAUUUUCAAUAAUGGAAAGAAAAACUAGUCAGGUCAGCAAGGAAAUCGAAGACUUGAACAUAAACUAACUUGACCUAACAGACAUCUAGAGGAUAGCCCACCCAACAACAGCAAAAUAUACAUUUUCUGAAGUGCACAUGGAACAUUCUCCAGAACAGACCAUAUGCUAGGCCAUAAAACAAACCUCAUUAAAUUAAAAAUGAUAGAAUUAAUACCAAGUGUGUUCUCCUCCUACAAUAAAAUGAAGUUAGAAGAAAAAGUUGUUAUUCUGUAGAAAGAAAUUUGGGAAACUCACAAAUACGUGAAAAUUAAACAACACAGUCCUAAAUAACUAAUGGAUCAAAGAAGAAACCAAAAGGAAAAUUAAAAAAUGAAAUGAAUAAAAAUGAAGAUACAAACGCCAAAGAGCAGCUAGAGCCAUGUUUAGAAGACGUUUUAAGCUAUAAAUACCUACCUUAAAAGAAGAAUGAGGAGUUUCUGUUGUGGCUCAGCAGUAACGAAACCAACUGGUAUCCAUGAGGAUGCAGGUUCUAUCCCUGGCCUCACUCAGUGUGUUAAGGAUCUGAUGUUGCCAUGAGUUGCAGUGUAGUUCACAGACACAGCUUGGAUCUGGUAAUGUGUGCCUGUGGCAUAGCUGGCAGCUAUAGCUGCUCUGAUUCGACCCCAGCCUGAGAACUUCCAUAUGCCGCUGUGUGCAGCCCUAAAAAGAUUUUUUUAAAAAAUGAUCUUGGAGUUUUCUGGUGGCACAGUGGGUUAAGGGACCCAGUGUUGUCAUUGAUGUGGCUCAGGUCACUGCUAUGGUGCCAGUUUGAUCCCUAAUACUGGAAUUUCUGCACGAUGUGGGUGUGGCCAAAAAAAAAAGAAGAAUGACCUCAAAUAAGUAACCUGAUUUCCACCUUAAGAAAACAGUAAAAUAAAAACCAGCUAAACCUAAAGAAGGCAGAAUAAAGUUUGGAAUGGAAAUAAAUAAGGAAUAGAAAAACAGAAAAAUCAAGUUCUG
RNAcentral lists this long non-coding RNA (3095 nucleotides) under Sus scrofa (pig). Its description in RNAcentral is "lncRNA (ENSSSCG00000058635.1)". The record is from RNAcentral. Lineage: Eukaryota; Metazoa; Chordata; Mammalia; Artiodactyla; Suidae.